UUGGUUAAGUUAGAAAGGGCGCACAGUGGAUGCCUUGGCACUAGGAGCCGAAGAAGGACGGGACUAACACCGAUAUGCUUUGGGGAGCUGUACGUAAGCGUUGAUCCAGAGAUUUCCGAAUGGGGGAACCCACUAUCUUUAGUCGGAUAGUAUCCUUACGUGAAUACAUAGCGUGAGGAAGGCAGACCCAGGGAACUGAAACAUCUAAGUACCUGGAGGAAGAGAAAGAAAAAUCGAUUUCCUGAGUAGCGGCGAGCGAAACGGAAAGAGCCCAAACCAAGAAGCUUGCUUCUUGGGGUUGUAGGACACUCUAUACGGAGUUACAAAAGAAAGUUAUAAAUGAAGCGGUCUGGAAAGGCCCGCCAAAGACGGUAACAGCCCGGUAGUUGAAAUAGCUUUCCCUCCAGAGUGGAUCCUGAGUACGGCGGAACACGUGAAAUUCCGUCGGAAUCCGGGAGGACCAUCUCCCAAGGCUAAAUACUCCCUAGUGACCGAUAGUGAACCAGUACCGUGAGGGAAAGGUGAAAAGCACCCCGGAAGGGGAGUGAAACAGUUCCUGAAACCGUGUGCCUACAAGUAGUUAGAGCCCGUUAAUGGGUGAUAGCGUGCCUUUUGUAGAAUGAACCGGCGAGUUACGAUUUGUUGCAAGGUUAAGCGGAAAAAGCGGAGCCGUAGCGAAAGCGAGUCUGAAUAGGGCGCAUAAGUAACAGGUCGUAGACCCGAAACCAGGUGAUCUACCCAUGUCCAGGAUGAAGGUAAGGUAAUACUUACUGGAGGUCCGAACCCACGCACGUUGAAAAGUGCGGGGAUGAGGUGUGGGUAGCGGAGAAAUUCCAAUCGAACUUGGAGAUAGCUGGUUCUCUCCGAAAUAGCUUUAGGGCUAGCCUCGAGGUAAAGAGUCAUGGAGGUAGAGCACUGUUUGGACUAGGGGCCCUUCUCGGGUUACCGAAUUCAGAUAAAC
RNAcentral lists this ribosomal RNA (961 nucleotides) under Listeria monocytogenes. RNAcentral describes it as "partial 23S ribosomal RNA". It matches the Rfam family "Bacterial large subunit ribosomal RNA", at positions 1 to 954 of the family's 2925-position model. Lineage: Bacteria; Bacillati; Bacillota; Bacilli; Caryophanales; Listeriaceae. The record is from RNAcentral.